Long non-coding RNA from Girardinichthys multiradiatus, 474 nucleotides. RefSeq lists it as uncharacterized. Lineage: Eukaryota; Metazoa; Chordata; Actinopteri; Cyprinodontiformes; Goodeidae. The transcript has 2 exons. The record is from RefSeq and is a predicted model, not a curated record.
GUGCCACUUUGGAUCCUUCGGGGGGUUUUGGCUUGUAGCCGGUAAGGAGAAACAAGGUGCUACUUGUUUUACCAGCGGAGCCGUUACUGCCGAGCGUCCUGGCAUCACCGUCGCCAGCCCGCCGCUCCACGUCAGUUUGGCAUCUGCGUUUGGUCUUGUUGAAGAAGUAAAAGAAGAAGAUAAAGAAAAAGGUCCGAAAGCUUCAUCCAGGCCAUGAAAAACGGAAAAAAAGAACAAAAUUAAAUUAAAUGUAUAACAGGAGUGUGAGAUUUGAAAGAAGGAAGCUGGGAAAAUUCUCCCACUGAGACAGUCGAUCUGGUCUGUCACUCUAGUUCGGUCACAGGUCAACAGUUUUCACACUGCAAGACAAGAAAACAUGCAUCAUGUUAGAAAUGAAACAGUUAAUGCUGCAAAUUAUGUUCAGAAAUAUCUCUGUUAUAUGUUUAUUUCGAAUAAAUUGGCUGUAAAACCCGG